Long non-coding RNA from Triticum dicoccoides, 1092 nucleotides. RefSeq lists it as uncharacterized. NCBI's taxonomy places the organism in Eukaryota, Viridiplantae, Streptophyta, Magnoliopsida, Poales, Poaceae. The record is from RefSeq and is a predicted model, not a curated record. The transcript is spliced from 2 exons.
CGCGCCACGCAGCACAAGUGCCUACACGCAGACUUCUUUUUUUAUCCUCUACUCCACGGUCCACACCCAUCGUAUCAUAUACGCAUCUUAUCCUCUUGCCCUCAUCCCCAUCUCCGCAACCUCUCUGUCUCUUUCUGCGUCCUGGCUUCGGCGAGCUCCGUGGCUUCUCCGGCGAGGCUGCCACCAGCGGACCCCCAUCUGCUCGUCUUUUCGGCCCUCUCCCAUGAGAUUUUCUCCUUUUUAUCUUGUAUAGCUCAUCAGCCUUUCCCCUUCCUGCUGCUUGACGCCCCCUGUUGCCACAGAGACCAGAGAUGACCCACGGGACGGCGGGGAUAGAGGGAGGAAGUACACUAGGAGCUGCAACUGGUGGAUGGAAAAGCUACAUCCGGCUACGCGGGAGCUGCAAGCGGCCACACCGGGAGUUGCAAACGGCAGGGCGACGGGGUGGGUGAACCACGACCGGCAAUGCUACCAUCGUGGUGACCGCCGUUUUUCUUUGCUGGAACCAGCACUUUUUUUUGCUACCACCGGCGUUUUGAUUUGCUGGAACCAGCGCCCAAAUGUGGAUUGUAGCUGCAUGAUGGGGAGAUGCAUUGUCGGCCUUUUGCUGGAACCGGCAAUGAGGAUAGCUGCGACCGGCGCCUUUUUUGCUUCAACAGCGAUGGGGACCAACAGAUGGGAGUUGCAUCGGGUUUUUUUCGGCAGCAAGAUGCAACCGGCAAAGACGACGAGCCAUGGGGGGUGAGAAGGUGGCUACAACCGGCCAAAAAUUUGUUGCAAACCCGCAACACAGAUGCUUCCAGCCAUGGCCGCGGCAAGCUACGGUGAUCAGUCGGGGAUGCGAGGGCGGCCGGGGACGGCAGAGGCGAGGAGGUGGACCGAGAAGGAUGGCCGAAGACGCCGGAGGCGGGCAGACACGCUGCGCAUGGAGCCUGUUUUUGUUUUUUUUUAGAUGGCGAAAGUGAUAUUUGGGGAAAGAAAGGAACAGAUCGCACGGUGAAGGGACUCCCAAUCGGAUGGUCGCGCAGUGACCGGCCCCUAUCACUGCCCUUUUCAUUACUUGCAUAGCCGAAAUACAUUAGUUGUAGCCCA